This 6246-nucleotide long non-coding RNA is filed under the name Sus scrofa (pig). Its description in RNAcentral is "lncRNA (ENSSSCG00030065156.1)". The record is from RNAcentral. Lineage: Eukaryota; Metazoa; Chordata; Mammalia; Artiodactyla; Suidae.
CCGGCCGCGUGGUUGUGCUGCGGCUGGCUGGGCAGCCUGGCUCUCUUGGCACUCUCUCAGCUGGCUUCUCAGGAGUCUGCCUCCCAGGCGGAUCUGCAGACCUGGGAGGGGGCUUCCUUUGUUCCCCCCACUCCCCGACGUGCUGCCCUGCCCCCUCAGCUCUCCCAGGCCCAAGGGAGCUGCUCCAAGGUGGCUGGGCCAGGGGGCCAGGGGCUGAGACAGCCCAUUCUCAUGGACCAGAAGAGCCCCAAGUGGCAAAUGCUCCUGCCGCUGGGCACCGUUCCUCCCGCGCGUUCCAGAUGAGAAGACCGAGACACGGAGGUCAGGUGACUUGUGGAUGUCCCCAGGCUGGUCAGGUGGGCAGAACCGAGACAACGGUGUGGCACAGAGCUUGCAUCCUGUCCCACAAGGCAGCAUAAACUGUAGCCCCAAUUAUGGGAAAUCCAACCCUAUUUACAAAGACGUUCUCUCAGCUUUGAGAAAGUUCCCCAGCAUCACAGCGGGGCUUUGGCUGGAAGACAGUGGGCCGUGGCUCCAUCAGGCCGGGGGCAGCCCCAGCCCUGCCAGGACAGGCAGGUGCCAGGCCACGAGGCACCUGUGGCAGCGGAAGGCGGGGCACCUUGUCCUCCCAGGGGGCGGGGCACUGGGUGCCAGGAGCGGGCCCGGGCGCAGCCUGCCUCGUGGGUGCUGGGAGGGCAGCCAGGGGCCAUUGGGGGCUUUGUGCCUAUCACCGAAGCACAGCGUGGACCUCCGCCCCUUCCUCGCACCCUUGGCAGCCAGGUGGGCACACCUGCCCCAGGCAGUCCCAGGCCCCAUCCCUGACCCUGGCUGGUACCCAGUGUUAGGGUUAGGGUUAGGGUUAGGGUUAGGGAUCCCCCAGACCAUAGCGUCCUUAAACAAAGGAACAAAGCUGAGCCCUGGCCUGGGUCACAGACAUGGGGUCUCAGGCGGCAGUGUCUCCGACUCCAGGAGCAGCUCAGCCCCGCCUCUUCCAGGAAGCCCGCAGGGACUGCUCCGUCCCUCUCUCUCUCUCUCUCUUUCCCUCUCCCCCUCAAUAUUGCAUCCUUUCCUCAGCUCUAGAAUGGGAAGGGAGCUCAGCUGGCUUCACUGGGGUCCAAACCAGGGCACGUGUGAGAGUGCAGGUGGCACCAUUACCUGUUACGUGGGGACAUGGGCUGAAAACCAGGACCCUCCCAGGACAUUCGGGGGCCUGGCUUAUACCAUCAUGCGUCGUUGGUUGUUCGGGUGUUUCUGUCUCUGGUUCCCUUUCUUGUCAAGUCAGCUUCCUCACCUGUAACGUGGCAGUGCUGGUGGCACUGUGAGGGUUCGGCGAGGCGGUCCUUGCUGCUAGGAAGCAUCCUGUCUUCUCUGUAUCCUUUCGGCACCAAGCUCAUGUCAGCCAGGGCUUCCGACGGUCUGAUGGCUGCCUGGAGGAGGCUCGGCCUGCUGCAGGUGCCCGGUGACAUUCCUAGGAUGACGGGUGGAGCGCGAAGGCUGGCUGGCUGGGUGGAUGCCUCCCUGAAUGGAGACUGAAUGAACACCGGGUCUCUUCUCUUCCCAGGUGGCUCUGGAGACCCCAGCCCCUGGCAGCGGGCAGCCGGGGAGGGUAUGAGUGUGCUUUUGUCCCCGUGGUUACCCAUUGCCACGUUACCCAUCGCCACGGUGGGCACACUCUCUCUGUUUCUGCUCCUUGAGUCUCGGACCCUGGCCGCCCACCAGGCCUCCCUCCCUCCCCUUGGCGCUGGCAGGACAGGCAGGUCAGGUGGGCUUCCAGUCAGGGCUCUUUUCUCCACCUCCCCAGGGGCUGUGUGUGUGUGUGUGGUUCUGAGUGUGUGGUUCUGUGCGUCUGUCGGUGUGUGCACCCAGCAAGCCCAGCGGGCGAGGUGGCCCCUGUGGCUUCGGGCUGAAGGAAUUAGUGUGCCGCGUGCAAUGGCUUUGGCAGCUGGCCGGGCUCGCCGCCCCUGGAUGCCAUGAGGGGCGUGGACGUGACACAUGUCCCACCUGCUGGUUUGGGGCAGGGCAGGGGCAGGGAGGAGAAGGCCCCUGAGCCUGGCUUUUUGGACUGCUCACUGCUGCUGCUGUCCUCCGUGGGGUAAGGACAGACAGGUGGACAGGAGCCAAUCUCUCUGCUCCUUCACCUCGGUGACACUGGCUCCGUGCCCUCCCUUAUGGGGGCCGAGAGACUGUUCUAGGCACCCCUCGCCCCCCAGAAGUGGUGUGAAAAGUGGGGCUCUGGACCUCUUGGGCCUGGCUUCAGAUCCCCUGGCCACUCCUCAUUGCUGUGUGCCCGGGAUAAGCCGCCUCACCUCUCUGGGCCGCUUCCCAACAUGAAUCCCGCCAGCCAGGGCUCUGAGGACAGAGUGGGUCAGGACCUGAGGCCCUCAGGACACCGCAGGUCAGCAGUGUGAGCCAUCAGCCCCUUGCCUGGCACUGUCCCCAUUGUCAUUCUGGUCACCUUUUCUGGGAGCAUUUGAACCCCAGUGUCACCCCCCACAGCCCAGCUCUCCCAGGUGGGGAGCAAGGCAGGAAACUCAGGAUGCUGACUCGGCCAGGGGAGAUCCCACGUGACCCCCACCAGCCAUAGGGCGGGAGGCAGCCUGCCAAGGUGAGGCACAGCGCCCUGGCCCAGAACAGAGCAAGUGCUCAGAAAUCACAGGCCGGUACCCUCCCGGCUGGGGGCAGCUUCCUGCCAGCAUCCCGGCCCCUGGCCCUGUCUCCUCACCCAGCAGCAUACAGAAGGGAAGGAGCAUUUAUGCAACACCUACUGCAUGCCAGUUCUCAAGUCAUUAGCCCGUUUUAUCAACAAGGAAACUGAGCCUCAGAGAGGUGGGGCCUGGGACCAGCCCAGUGGUUCCAAAGCAGGAAUUCCCACCAGGAACCAACCUUGAGAGGGCCUCCCUCCUGCCUCCUUGGGCCAAAGCAACUGCCCUCCUGAGCCCUCGGGGACCCCAGGCACUGCUCCAGCCCCUCCCCAGCUCCUCCCCCUAGACCCCCAGGAAGCAGAGCUUGGGGAGAUGCUGUCCACAGUCUCAGGACCAGACCCUGCAGGCAGAUCUGUGCGCCCUCUCUGAGCCUCAGUUUUCCCAUCUGGGAAAUAGGAAGAGCCAAGGAUGUCCGCCCCAUAGCGUGGGAACGCUGAGCCGUUGAAACAUCACUCCGGCCCCAUCCUUGGGGACCGCCUUGGUCCCCAGGGGCUGGUCUGGGGGGGUUCAAGGGCUGGGUGGGCUGGUCUGGCCGCCUCGCCUCUCCCUAAUGGCAGGUUUGGGCACAGACAGAGCCUGUGGCCUGGCAGUGUGGGGUGGUGGCUCUGCUCCCCCGCCCGCCUGCCCUCCUGCCCGCCGUGUGGUCCCUGCGGGGGGACACGUGAACACAGCCUGGCUCUGUUCUCUCAGAGCUGUGGGAGGCGGGCUGUCACCACGGGAGCUGGAGGUGAGCCCGGGAGCGGGGGAGGGGCGGCGGAUGUCUGUGCCUGCCUUCCUCCCCCCACCCGCCACCGCCACCACCACCGCCACCGCCAGGCCCUGCCAAGCCACAGGUGCCGCCGUGGAGGGCGUGGGUGGGGGUCCUGCUGAGUGGAGGGCUGGGGCUGGGCGAGGGGUUGGGGGUGCACAGUGUAUGCAGGAUAGCGAGGAGGGGGUCUUUUGGGGGGACAGCUGCCCCGCUCUGUUCUGGAGAGAGAGGUGUCCAAGGCAACAUGGCCACCGUCACCAGGGCUGCAGGUCCCCCUGGGGUUCUGAACGGCUGCUGCGUGGCACAGGUUGGGCACUGCACAAUCUCAGGUCUUUGGGUGGAGCUGUACCGUGUGCAGCGGCCUAGGGGCUCCCUCCCGUCUUCUCCGCCUCCCACGUUUUGAUGUUUGUUUCUGGAGUUCGGGCCCCUUUUGAUCCAAAGUCUGGGGUGUUGGUGAGGGCGAUGUGUAGGAGUGACUAUGGGUGAGAGGGCUCCCAUCGUGGGCUGCACACAGUAGGGCGGCUUGGGGGGUUGUAAGAAGCCAUGUCUGUCCUUCGAGGUCAGAGUGAUACGUGUGUAUCCAAGCCCCCCAUGAAUCCCAUUCUCCUUGAGCAUCUAAGGUCAUGACUUUGUGGGUACCAGGCGUCCCCGCCCCGCUACCUUGCCUCCUAAGAGCCCCCUUUGCCGAGAUUUAAUGUCUUAACUCACUGAGCUGCAGGUCAAACAGCACCUGGGGAGAGAGACACCAACUGAAACCUCUCCUAGCUGUGUGACCUUAAGCAUGUUACCUAACCUCUCUGUGCUUUCAUUUCCUCCUCCGAAAAGUAGAGGCAGUAGCCUGCGUCGCCAGGUUAUAGGCAGAUUGCAUGAGAUAAGGAUGAAACGCACUUUGAGCCGGGACAGCGUGUGGAAAAUGCCAGUUGUUGCCUCACUCCGUGUGCCCUGGGUAGAAACUGCCAGCUUUGUUCUUUGCCACCUGGAGGUCCUGGCAGGCAGGAGGCUGGGGUUCAGCGGCCUUGUUCCCCAGGGGUGGCUGGCACCGGGCUUGGCACGAGGUGAGCUCUGGAUUGAUAAACAGCUGCAGGGUUGCAGGGGGGGCCUCCCUCUCUCCCUCUCUGGGAGCUGCAGGGGACGCCUGCUCCCUCCAACCCGCCGCCACCGCCAGGCCCCUUUGUCCAUACGGCCGCCUCCCGGUGCAGAGAAACCGCAGGCUGGGCUGCGCCACUCAGCCUUAUCUCAGGCCUUUUGCAGACAGCCCUGGCCCCGGGAAAGGGGUUUAUCAGCCCGGUCAUCUGUGCCCCGGUAGGUUCAGAGGGGCAGAGAGCUUGGAGGGGAGCCUGGCAGGGGGCAGGGCCCACCCACACUGGCCUGGCGAGGUCCCCUCCUCCAGGCGGGCUUUGGGCGCACAGGAAGGGCCGAGCCCCAGACUCCCUCCGUAGACUCCGUGACAUUCACCUUCCACCGGCCCCCUCCCAGCCCUCAGAUUCGGUGCCCUCCAUGCGACCACCUGUCCCCACGGGGCAGUCAGGGGAGCCUGACCCGCGUCUGAGGGCGGGUAUGUGUGGCAGGGUUGAAGCUGGGAAGCCCAUUUCAGGGCACUGAGCCCUGGGAAGGCUGCCCAGCCUUCCCGAUGCUUCUUUAAGGGGCAGGGAGCUCCCGUUCUCCCCCCUUAUAAGGCCAACUCCUGAGCGCCUGCUGGCGAGGAGCCCUUCUCCCCAUGCUCUCACGGAUGCGCUGACUGGGCCCAGUCGUGAACCCAUCAUAGAGACCAGGAGACUGAGGCCCAGGCCAACUUUGCACCCUGCAGCCUUGCGGACAUCCUGGGUCUGCGGGCGCACGGGAUGGGCACCUUAGGGGUGGAAGGUGGUCCCUGUGGUCCCUGGCCACCCGGCUACCCUAGUGCCAUUCUGCCACCACCUCCCCUGCCAUUGCUCCCUCCCUUCCCUCAGGGAGAAGUCCUGCUCAGCCAGGGAUGGGGGUGGGGGAACAGAAUGGGCCCCUCGCCAGUGGGUGCACACCGCCAGAGAGGGGCCUUGACAAGCUCAGUAGCCGGGUCAGACCCUGGCACUUUCUGGCUGCAAACCCGGACAAGCCUCCUAGCCCUCUGGGCUGGGCGGGGGCGGGUGUGUGUGUGUGUGUGCCCUUUCCACGCGCCAGGCAGCCCCCCCAGGUCUUGGCCCACUUCAGGCUGCUCCCCAGAGGGCCCUCCCUCUCUCACCCGGAUCUGUGGGCAGAGUCACCCUCUUCACUGGCAUCCUGUCCUUCUCUGCUAAAAGGGCCACCUCCUGCUGUGUCCCAUCCUCGUUCUUAGGCUGUCACAGGCUCACAGCGCUGUCUAGCAGUGUAUUUCGCUGAUUUUUCUUAUCGUCUGCCGUGCCCAGUGUCUGCGCAGCUCCCAGAGGACAAGAAUUUCCAACUCCGUCUGCCCAGCCCCUAGGUCAGUGCCCGGCCCACAGUAGGCCCUCGAUAAAUACUUGUCAAAUGAAUGAAUGGACAGAUCAGCAAAGUGAGAAAACCAGAGAGUUCCCGUCAUGACGCAGUGGUUAACAAAUCCGACUAGGAACCAUGGGGUUGCGGGUUCGAUCCCUGGCCUUGCUCAGUGGUCAAGGAUCCGGCGUUGCCGUGAGCUGUGGUGUAGGUCGCAGAUGCAGCUCAGAUCCUGCAUUGCUGUGGCUGUGGCUGUGGUGUAGACUGGUGGCUACACCUCCAAUUGGACUCCUAGCCUGGGAACCUCCAUAUGCCGAGGGAGCGGCCCUAGAAAAGGCAAAAAGACAAAAAAAAAAAAAAAAAAAAAAA